AUUUAUAUAGCUUAUAAUAGAGUGUAGUAUUGAAGAUACUAAGGAAACUGAAGAUGUUUAUAAAUA
RNAcentral lists this transfer RNA (66 nucleotides) under Sigmella digitalis. RNAcentral describes it as "tRNA-Phe". The record is from RNAcentral. Lineage: Eukaryota; Metazoa; Arthropoda; Insecta; Blattodea; Blattellidae.